RNAcentral lists this ribosomal RNA (1431 nucleotides) under metagenome. RNAcentral describes it as "bacterial SSU rRNA". It matches the Rfam family "Archaeal small subunit ribosomal RNA". The record is from RNAcentral.
UCCCGUUGAUCCUGCGGGGGAUUGCUGCUAUUGGGAUUCGACUAAGCCAUGCAAGCUCUGGUGGCAACACCGGCAGACUGCUCAGUAACACGUCGUUAACUUAACCUUAGGUCGGGGAUACCCUUGGGAAACUGAGGUUAACACCUGAUAUGAGAUUGGUACUGUAAUGUUCUUUCUUUGAAAAGCAAUGCCUAAGGAUAGGACGGCGACCGAUUAGGUUGUUGGCGGGGUAAUGGCCCACCAAGCCUGAGAUCGGUAGGGGCCUUGAGAGAGGGAGCCUCGAGAAGGGCACUGAGAUACUGGCCCUAGCCCUACGGGGUGCAGCAGGCGCGAAACCUUUACAAUGCACGAAAGUGUGAUAAGGGAAUCCCAAGUGCUUGUAGUUUCUACAAGCUUUUGCCAAGAGUAAAGACCUUGGCGAAUAAGUGGUGGGCAAGACUGGUGCCAGCCGCCGCGGUAACCCCAGCGCCACAAGUGGGAAUCACAUUUAUUUGGCCUAAAGCGUUCGUAGCCGGUCUGGUAAAUUCCUUGUGAAAUCGCUCUGCCUAACAGAGCGGCGUGCAGGGAAGACUGUCAGACUUGGGACUGGGAGGAGUCAGAAGUAUGCUUGGGGGAGCAGUAAAAUGCUAUAAUCCCUUGCGGACUACCUGUGGCGAAGGCGUCUGACCAGAACAGUUCCGACGGUGAGGGACGAAAGCGAGGGGAGCAAUCCGGAUUAGAUACCCGAGUAGUCCUCGCUGUAAACUCUGCGAGCAAGGUGUUGCAUAUUCUUCGUGGAUAUGCAGUGUCGAAACGAAGGUGUUGAGCUCGCCGCCUGGGGAGUACGGUCGCAAGACUGAAACUUAAAGGAAUUGGCGGGGGAGCACUACAAGGGGUGCGGCGUGCGGUUUAAUCUAAUUCCACACAGAGAACCUCACCAGGGGCGACGGCAGAAUGAAGGUCAGGCUAAAGACCUUACCUGACAAGCCGAGAGAUGGUGCAUGGCCGCCGUCAGCUCGUGCUGUAAAGUGUCCUGUUAAGUCAGGCAACGAGCGAGACCUGCGCUUACAAUUGCUAACGAGUUCUUCGGAAUGAUCGAGCACAUUGUAAGAACUGCCUUGGAAACGAGGAGGGAGGUGCAGGCUACGGUAGGUCUGUAUGCCUCGAAUCCCCUGGGCUACACGCGCGCAACAACGGUAGGGACACUGGGAUACAACUCCGAAAGGAGAAGUUAAACCUCUAAACCCUAUCUAAGUUCAGAUUGAGGGCUGCAACUCGCCCUCAUGACGAUGGAAUCCCUAGUAAUCGGACUUCAACAUAGUCCGGUGAAUACGUCCCUGCUCCUUGCACACACCGCCCGUCAAUCCACUCGAGCAGGGUCUAGAUGAGAUCUAGCUUUCUUGGUUAGCGCGAAUCUAGGCUCAGUGAGAUGGGAUAAGUCGUCACAAGGUA